AAUGUCGCGGUGAAUACGUUCCCGGGCCUUGUACACACCGCCCGUCACACCAUGGGAGUGGGUUGCACCAGAAGUAGCUAGUCUAACCUUCGGGAGGACGGUUACCACGGUGUGAUUCAUGACUGGGGUGAAGUCGUAACAAGGUAGCCGUAGGGGAACCUGCGGCUGGAUCACCUCCUUAA
RNAcentral lists this ribosomal RNA (182 nucleotides) under Methylobacterium oryzihabitans. Its description in RNAcentral is "Methylobacterium sp. TER-1 partial 16S ribosomal RNA". It matches the Rfam family "Bacterial small subunit ribosomal RNA", at positions 1353 to 1533 of the family's 1533-position model. The record is from RNAcentral. Lineage: Bacteria; Pseudomonadati; Pseudomonadota; Alphaproteobacteria; Hyphomicrobiales; Methylobacteriaceae.